Molecule: ribosomal RNA, 492 nt
Filed under: uncultured bacterium
Lineage: Bacteria
Description: partial 16S ribosomal RNA
Rfam family: Bacterial small subunit ribosomal RNA
Source: RNAcentral
AGUGAACGCUGGCGGUAGGCCUAACACAUGCAAGUCGAACGGCAGCACAGUAAGAGCUUGCUCUUACGGGUGGCGAGUGGCGGACGGGUGAGGAAUACAUCCGAAUCUACUUUUUCGUGGGGGAUAACGUAGGGAAACUUACGCUAAUACCGCAUACGACCUACGGGUGAAAGCAUGGGAUCUUCGGACCUUGCGCGAUUGAAUGAGCCGAUGUCGGAUUAGCUAGUUGGCGGGGUAAAGGCCCACCAAGGCGACGAUCCGUAGCUGGUCUGAGAGGAUGAUCAGCCACACUGGAACUGAGACACGGUCCAGACUCCUACGGGAGGCAGCAGUGGGGAAUAUUGGACAAUGGGCGCAAGCCUGAUCCAGCCAUACCGCGUGGGUGAAGAAGGCCUUCGGGUUGUAAAGCCCUUUUGUUGGGAAAGAAAAGCAGCAGGUUAAUACCCCGCUGUUCUGACGGUACCCAAAGAAUAAGCACCGGCUAACUUCGUG